CCUACGGGAGGCUGCAGUGGGGGAUAUUGCACAAUGGGGGGAACCCUGAUGCAGCGACGCCGCGUGUGGGAAGACGGUCCUCUGGAUUGUAAACCACUGUCCCCAGGGACGAAAAUGACGGUACCUGGGGGGGAAGCUACGGCUAACUACGUGCCAGCAGCCGCGGUAAUACGUAGGGAGCGAGCGUUGUCCGGAAUUACUGGGUGUAAAGGGAGCGUAGGCGGGGAUGCAAGUUGGGUGUAAAAACUACCGGCUCAACUGGUAGUCGCACUCAAAACUGCCGCUCUUGAGUGAAGUAGAGGCAGGCGGAAUUCGUGGUGUAGCGGUGAAAUGCGUAGAUAUUAGGAGGAACACCAGUUGCGAAGGCGGCCUGCUGGGCUUUUACUGACGCUGAGGCUCGAAAGUGUGGGGAGCAAACAGGAUUAGAUACCCUUGUAGUC
This 440-nucleotide ribosomal RNA is filed under the name uncultured bacterium. Its description in RNAcentral is "partial 16S ribosomal RNA". It matches the Rfam family "Bacterial small subunit ribosomal RNA", at positions 338 to 795 of the family's 1533-position model. The record is from RNAcentral.